Molecule: long non-coding RNA, 338 nt
Filed under: Capra hircus (goat)
Lineage: Eukaryota; Metazoa; Chordata; Mammalia; Artiodactyla; Bovidae
Description: lncRNA (ENSCHIG00000006084.1)
Source: RNAcentral
CUAUUCGUCUCUGUCUUUCCCAGGUGUAUCUAAAGCUGUGAGGUGAGAGAAUGAAAUAUUUGUGGGAUGAUGACUUGUCGUUCUGUGCUUCUUUUUUAUCUAGCCCAAGUUCUCCAUCAAAGGAUCAGAAACAAGCUUUGAGAAAAAGAAGAAACAGGCUCUGUUUGUUCCAGAGUGACUGUUUAGAGUGACUCCAGCUUAAGGAAUUGCCGAUCUGGUCAUCACAUUAAAGAAAGGCAGCCUAUUAAGGUAUACUUUAUGUAACUUUGUGUGUGUUAGUCGCUCAGUCCUGUCUCUUAUUGACCUCAUGAACUGUAGCCUGCCAGAUUCCUCUGUCC